CAGAAUUAAAAAACAGAAUUUUAAUUGUUUUCAAAACAAUUUCGAGCGGUCGGAAGUUUUUAUUUUGCUUUUUCUAGAUUUGUUGAUACUUUGUGAGUGAAUUUAACGUUAAAUAAAAAUUAUGAGAUUUAAAGAGCGUUCUUCUCAUCCGACAUUGGCGCAAAUAGAGGCAUUGAUAAACGUUUUGGGUUAAAAGCUAGCGAAACAAAAGGAUUAAUCGAAUCUCAACAUGUUCAGAGAACAAGGAUAUUAAAAAAAUAUAGGAACUAAAUUCUCUUGUCAGUUAAGAUCCAUUCCCGGUGAGAUAUUUAGGACAUGUUAACAUAUAUUUAUGUAUGAUAUAUCUAUCUACUACGUUUUUAUUGAUGUUCUAUUUUAACAGGGCAUGAAGGUAAUUUAUUUGUAUCUCAAAUUCACCAACAAAAAAAUUAUAUUGAAUUAAAUAAAUCAAAUCAUUCACAAUUUAGGUAUUGCAAGUUAGAUUGAUGUUGUUGGAAUGUAUUUAUUGAUGCAGAGGUGACUGUAUCUAUGGUAAAAGGUGUGCAUACUGGUACAGGGGUGGCAGGCAGUGCCAGAGUAUUGACUAAACUGACAUUAUGUUGGCUAAAGGCUGCAUACUCAGUUUAAAAUAAAGAACAAAAUUUAGGCAUAACCUAUUUUAUUAUAUUUAAGGAACUACAACAGAUUGGAAAUACUAAUCCACAUCAUCAGAAUAUUGUAAGGAGAAUUUUUAGCCAACUCGGAAAAUGUAUCAGUAUUGGAACAAUCGCAAACAUACAGGUAUGUAUGUUAUGCCUAAUUAUCUGAAAUAAAUACCUAAACAAAACUUGCAUUUUAAAAAUUAAUAUUUAUUGCCUUUUUAGCAUUGCAUCAAGAAUCACCUAUUUUGCAGUCAUCAUCCUCUAACUAAAUGCAAGUAACUUCUACUUAUUGUGAUGCUACUACUAGUAGCUCCAGCCACAGUAGGUCUCACAUGUUAGUCAAGAGAUUGGGUUGAUAUGUGUUUAUUCAGGUCAAAGUACCUAUUCAUUGAACCACCAUAUUAGGGACAUUGAUUUGUGUAUAAUGCUGUUACUUGUAAAUAAAAACAUUUUGUUGCAUGUAUUGUAAACAUUGUAUUUUACCUAACCUUGUUUUUAAAUAAAUUUAUUAUUUUUUUCAGCACCUCAACACCUGACCUGCUAUUUCACCACUUUUACAAUGAAAAGCAGAGUGUACUCAAAUUACUGAGAGAAUUUUGUGGAUAAGGAACUGCAGGUGAAGAUUCAGGGUGUUCAUAUGUGUGUCGUCCAAAGCAUUUUUGAACACAGACAAUCUGCAAGAAGGAUGAACUGUUGGUGGAAUUAGCACAUGCAGCGCUAGCAAUUUUAAACCUGUAUUUCCACAUAAGUUACUGAUGCAAACAAAUUUCAAAAUUAUUGUAUAUAACUAUUGACUAAAACUAUAAUAAAACUAUUUUUAUAAAUCA
This is a long non-coding RNA of Bombyx mori (domestic silkworm), 1468 nucleotides long. RefSeq lists it as uncharacterized. The record is from RefSeq and is a predicted model, not a curated record. The transcript has 2 exons. Lineage: Eukaryota; Metazoa; Arthropoda; Insecta; Lepidoptera; Bombycidae.